GAUGAACGCUGGCGGCGUGCCUAAUACAUGCAAGUCGAGCGAACAGACGAGAAGCUUGCUCCUCUGACGUUAGCGGCGGACGGGUGAGUAACACGUGGAUAACCUACCUAUAAGACUGGGAUAACUUCGGGAAACCGGAGCUAAUACCGGAUAAUAUAUUGAACCGCAUGGUUCAAUAGUGAAAGACGGUCUUGCUGUCACUUAUAGAUGGAUCCGCGCCGCAUUAGCUAGUUGGUAAGGUAACGGCUUACCAAGGCAACGAUGCAUAGCCGACCUGAGAGGGUGAUCGGCCACACUGGAACUGAGACACGGUCCAGACUCCUACGGGAGGCAGCAGUAGGGAAUCUUCCGCAAAGGGCGAAAGCCUGACGGAGCAACGCCGCGUGAGUGAUGAAGGUCUUCGGAUCGUAAAACUCUGUUAUUAGGGAAGAACAUAUGUGUAAGUAACUGUGCACAUCUUGACGGUACCUAAUCAGAAAGCCACGGCUAACUACGUG
This 497-nucleotide ribosomal RNA is filed under the name uncultured bacterium. Its description in RNAcentral is "partial 16S ribosomal RNA". It matches the Rfam family "Bacterial small subunit ribosomal RNA", at positions 28 to 507 of the family's 1533-position model. The record is from RNAcentral.